UCCACCUUCAUCGCAGAGCUUCCUAACACUAACAACACUGAAACCAGACUGCUUUGAAACCUUACACUGGGAUCUCAGCAGACACCAUGGCUACGAUCAGUGAUGUCUCAUCCAAAUACAAGGACAUCAUCUCCAAAAUUGCUAAUAGUCCAGAAUCUCCUACUCUUUACCAGCUGAGACCAAAAAAAGAGGAGUUUGGAACUCUGACCAGAAUGACUGUUGGUGAGAAAAAUCAUAGCAAGAAAAAUAAAACCAUCUUACUUGUGGGUGAAAAAGGAGCAGGAAAAUCUA
Long non-coding RNA from Archocentrus centrarchus (flier cichlid), 291 nucleotides. RefSeq lists it as uncharacterized. Lineage: Eukaryota; Metazoa; Chordata; Actinopteri; Cichliformes; Cichlidae. The transcript is spliced from 3 exons. The record is from RefSeq and is a predicted model, not a curated record.